This 165-nucleotide small RNA is filed under the name Chrysemys picta bellii (western painted turtle). Its description in RNAcentral is "TUC338 (ENSCPBG00000016881.1)". Lineage: Eukaryota; Metazoa; Chordata; Testudines; Emydidae. The record is from RNAcentral.
UUGACAUCCUGGGGACAAAAGUCUUCUGUUUAUCCAUAGAACAGGUACAGCACAGUCAGCUACAGUUCAAGCUUCCCCACCAACGCACUUCACACCUGAACCAAAGGGGGCCGCAUCUAGGAGAGAGAAGAGAGUAGAUUCUCCAUGGUUCAUUCAGUCCUCUCU